RNAcentral lists this ribosomal RNA (448 nucleotides) under uncultured bacterium. RNAcentral's name for it is "bacterial SSU rRNA". It matches the Rfam family "Bacterial small subunit ribosomal RNA", at positions 330 to 794 of the family's 1533-position model. The record is from RNAcentral.
CCCAGACUCCUACGGGAGGCAGCAGUGGGGGAUAUUGCACAAUGGGGGGAACCCUGAUGCAGCGACGCCGCGUGGGUGAAGAAGUAUUUCGGUAUGUAAAGCCCUAUCGGCAGGGAAGAAAUUGGACGGUACCUGACUAAGAAGCCCCGGCUAACUACGUGCCAGCAGCCGCGGUAAUACGUAGGGGGCAAGCGUUAUCCGGAUUCACUGGGUGUAAAGGGAGCGUAGACGGCCAUGCAAGCCUGGAGUGAAAGCCCGGGGCCCAACCCCGGGACUGCUCUGGGAACUGUGCGGCUGGAGUGCGGGAGGGGCAGGCGGAAUUCCUGGUGUAGCGGUGAAAUGCGUAGAUAUCAGGAGGGACACCGGCGGCGAAGGCGGCCUGCUGGACUGCAACUGACGUUGAGGCCCGAAAGCGUGGGGAGCAAACAGGAUUAGAUACCCUAGUACC